Artibeus jamaicensis (Jamaican fruit-eating bat) is the source of this 106-nucleotide small nuclear RNA. NCBI's taxonomy places the organism in Eukaryota, Metazoa, Chordata, Mammalia, Chiroptera, Phyllostomidae. The record is from RefSeq and is a predicted model, not a curated record.
GCGCUCACUUCGGCAGCACAUACCCUAAUAUUGGAAAGACACAGAGAAGAUUAGCAUGGACUCUGUGCAAGGAUGACAUGCAAAUCGUGAAGCGUUCCAUAUUUUU